UCAUUAAGGUUUCCAUCUUUCCGAUCCUAUAUAAGUUUUUGAAUAUCCCUAAAUCAGAGGAAAGCAUAUAUAAUUUAAUUAUUCAAUAGUGAAUUUUUUUUUCCCUCAAGGUUUCAGGUUUGGCCUAAUGGCGAAGCCACUCAUCCCCCAUGACAAAGGGAUUAUGAGCCCAUCAGAUUGUUCGCCUUACAGUUUCUAGGAAAACUUCUUGGCUGGUCUUUGUUCAAUAAAAAGGUAUUUUUUAGCGUAGCUACGGCAGACAUAGAAAGCUUGGUCUGCCGAAGCUAAAUAUAUAUGUGUCAUAUCAGAUGGGCUAUUUAGGGUGUUAUCACAAGAGAACAAGAGAGAGUACUUCAGGGGAAGCAGAUGAAGGAUGAAGGGGACCUCUGCUAAGCCUGAAUACUAAUUUAUAUGACAAAAUUAUCAAUUAUGUAGAUAUGAAUUCCUCGUGACACUUAAAUAAAUAUUUCAAAAUAUUGUAGCACAUUUAUAUUUUACGCUUAUAUGCACUUUUGGGUAAUUA
Molecule: long non-coding RNA, 523 nt
Organism: Daucus carota subsp. sativus
Lineage: Eukaryota; Viridiplantae; Streptophyta; Magnoliopsida; Apiales; Apiaceae
Exons: 2
Source: RefSeq, a predicted model, not a curated record